Molecule: non-coding RNA, 21 nt
Filed under: Arabidopsis thaliana (thale cress)
Lineage: Eukaryota; Viridiplantae; Streptophyta; Magnoliopsida; Brassicales; Brassicaceae
Source: RNAcentral
UGCAAUUUUUCAGCCUCUACA